This 1136-nucleotide long non-coding RNA is filed under the name Marmota monax (woodchuck). The record is from RNAcentral. Lineage: Eukaryota; Metazoa; Chordata; Mammalia; Rodentia; Sciuridae.
GCUGGUGACAGGCAGGGCUAGGCGGGGCUGAGCCCAUAGCUUUCAGCCAGGAAGUAGACUCAGAGAGGAGCAGUCACAGGCCUAAAGCCACACAGCAAACUGGGAGCCCACCUGGAAAGGUCCUGAUGGGUGAGAGGGGUGUGCAGGAUCCUAAAGACCCUCUCUGACCAGAGAGCUGUCAGGAGACUCCCUGCAGGGCUCGAUGCAGCUCGCAAGGAGGCUCCCGAGGAGGUCUGCCUUCCUGGGACAGGGUCCACCUGUGCUGGGUGUGGAGGCCCCUCUACCCUGGGGUGGGAGGCACCCCACCCUUCUCCUUGCCCCUAGAGCCGGGUUCCAGAGGCUCAGUGGGCCUGACGGUUGUGGCCAGGAUAAUCGGGGCCUCUGGGCAGGACCUCCAGGGGUCACUCUUAGAGCUGCCUGGGACUGCACAUCUGGUGUAGGGGACCCAGAGGUCUCGAACUUCCUGCUGUGGCCAAGCUCAGGUGUCUGGGCCAGACAGAUCUGCCCACCCUCACUGGGUAGCACUUGCUUCUUGGCUUUGGAGUUCUCGUGUGUGUACAGGCAAGAGCAGGCCCAGGGUGUCCACAAGGUAAACGGCUGACACGGUGAAGCACUUAGCUCAGCACCUGGUACAGAGGCGGUGAGGGGUAGCCUGGUUUCCAGCCCGGUCCUGACACUUGUCUGCGUGACCUCAGGUCACUGUCUUAACCUUCCUGUGCCUCUGCAUUUCCACCUAGAGGGAUACGGAACUGUAACACAUGCCCAAGGAUCCCGAGGAUGAAAUAACUCAAUCCCUGCAGGGGGGACUGGAGUCAUUGACAUUUCAAGUGCCCCAACCCGACCUGAAGGAGAGCCACUUCCCAAACUCCAGGACAGGAAGGUGGCUCAGGCCCUUGCCAGACCCACCAGCUGCCUGCCAGACCGGCUCGGUCCUCUGCCAGGGCCCCUAGCUUUGGCCCUCCCCAUUGCCCUUCCCUCCUCACCCACCCGCAGCCCCCAUCUGCAGCGGACAGCGGAGGCCCAGGGAGGUGCCUGAGGUGGGGCCUGACCUUGGGUCCAGGGCGCCCCAGCAGCCCUCUCCCUCUUCUGCUGUGGCCGCCCAGGAGGAGGUGCCGCCCCAGCCACCCCCGCCCCCG